GGGGGGGGGGGGGGGGGGGGGGGGGGGGGGGGGGGGGGGGGGGGGGGGGGUGGUGUGGGGGGGGGGGCGGGUGGCGGGGGGGUGGGGGACACGUGAGUAGCCUGCGCUUGGCUGUGGGAUAACUUGAGGAGACGGGGGCUAAUACCGGGUAGGAGCUCCUGCUGCGUGGUGGGGGUUGGAAAGGUGCGGCGGGGGGGGCUGGAUGCGCGGCUUAUCAGCGUGUUGGUGGGGUAGUGGCUUACCAAGGCUUUGGCGGGUAGCCGGCCUGAGAGGGUGACCGGCCACAUUGGGACUGAGAUACGGCCCAGCCUCCUACGGGAGGCAGCAGUGGGGAAUAUUGCACAAUGGGCGGAAGCCUGAUGCAGCAACGCCGCGUGCGGGAUGACGGCCUUCGGGUUGUAAACCGCUUUCGCCUGUGACGAAGCGUGAGUGACGGUAAUGGGUAAAGAAGCACCGGCUAACUACGUG
This 468-nucleotide ribosomal RNA is filed under the name uncultured bacterium. Its description in RNAcentral is "partial 16S ribosomal RNA". The stretch from base 50 to 468 matches the Rfam family "Bacterial small subunit ribosomal RNA", at positions 39 to 507 of the family's 1533-position model. The record is from RNAcentral.